RNAcentral lists this long non-coding RNA (1439 nucleotides) under Gallus gallus (chicken). RNAcentral describes it as "lncRNA (ENSGALG00010002828.1)". The record is from RNAcentral. Lineage: Eukaryota; Metazoa; Chordata; Aves; Galliformes; Phasianidae.
UUAUUUAUUAUGUUGCACAAUGGAAUCCACUUUUUCUUUUUUUGACUAAAAGUUUGUUAAGGAUGCAAAUAUUCGCAAGUAAUAUGAGGAAGGUCUCAUCUCUCAGUUUCUGGCAGCUCCUUUGGUGUCUGCAAUAUUUAUUCAGUGACUUAGUACAGGGUCAUGGAGAGUUUCUCCCAGAGCAGAAUCUAAUGCCAAGUGAAUGUUGUAAGAGGAGUUAAAACAGCUGAUUUAUGUUUAUAAUGUCUCUUAGUAACGUGUACUAUUGUUAAUUAAAAAGCCAUCCUCCUGUAAUAAUUCUCAGGUUGCACAGGAUCGUUAUUGCACGAGGCUGUGCAAAAAUGUAAUACACUUCUAUGAGAUUAUUUCUGAUAUUGCUAAGCCCACAUGCUAUAAAAUACUAAGUGCUCACCAAAAAUGAAUCAAUGGAAAAAAAAACCCUAACCCUUUUUACUCUAAAAGCUAAUGAACUAUGAUUUCUUUUUAUUUGUCUUUUGGGUUUAAAACCUCCAGACCUCAUUUUCAAACUCUUUUUCUGAAUCCAAGAGAGCUAGUUUAUUUUCUAAAGUAAAUAGAGAGAGGUCAGCAGAGCCUCUCACAAGUACAAAGGAGCCUGGGCUUUAAGAUUUCAAGUGAUUAUGACACAAGCAGCUUAAGCAUUCUCAGCAAUGAAUUUUUUUUUCCUUCCAACCCCAAGAUAAAUAUAAUCUGCUCAAAGAUGUUAACCUACUGGACAGGUCCCCUUGCUGUAGAAAUACACAUUUAUAUAUGCGGAGGUGCAACGUUACCACAACAAUGAAUCUGCUGACUGUGGAAGGUACUGUGUCUAUCCUGGGACCUGGGGUAGGAACAUUUAAUCCUGGCUUUGCCAUUAUGACCUGGUAUUUUUUCCUCUAUUUUUUUUUCUUUCCCCUGUGAAAUAGAAAUGCCACAGCUAGCACCUGCAGACUGGGCAUCUAUCUGCUAGAGCAGAUAGAUGAGUUUGGUUGCCCAGAGUUUGGGCAGGGUGGCUGUGUUGCUGAUAGCACAUGAAGAUGUGACAUGGCCAGAAUGGCUGCUUGGACAUUCAGUGUGAAGGAUCAGGUAUAUGUUUUCAGAUUGGCCAUUUGGCCUUGGCUGCUGUCUGGAGAAAGGCUGGGAGUUAUGACUCUGCGACUAUAAUAUGGUGCUGCAAUGCUCAGCUGCUACAUCCUUAAAGACUGAGAAAUACCUCGCCUUAAUAUCGGUAAUGCCUUCAAAAUAAUGCUUAAGUGGGACUUCAGGGGUGGAAUGAGUCUAGUUCUAGACCUCUGGACAGAAUCAAAUUUAAUCCUUAGGGAACCUCAUCUGUGCCUCAGAACUGCAAAGUGCUGUGCACUCUACCCUGAUUGUUCAGUAACUUGCAGAAAUGAGCCCAUAUAAAGCAUUAAAGAACUUCAGAGCCUGGCAUUUGAUUGUGC